CUGAGAAGCGCUCAUCCUCAGGUGGGGUCCAAAAGUCACCUCAUUACACUCGAGGAUACCUUUGUCACUCUCAUCACUUAGGAAAUUGUAAGAGUUUUAGGAGUUCUUUGCAAGAAACAGGAAGAAGGUCGAAUACAUAUUUCUUUUUUUUUUUUCUUUUUUUUCUUUUCGAAUAUAUAUUUCUUAAUAUAAAUCACAAUAACUCAACAGGCAAAGUAUCACUUGGCUGCCCUUUCACGCAGGGCACGUGGGGCUAAGGAAUCAGGGGGCUCCAGGCCCUAAUCAAACUCUGAGUGGGGCCCGACCCCGUCCGGGCAUUUCCCACCCUUGGGGUGGAAUGGGAAUGGAAGCAAGUGGUGCUCGGCACAUCCUCACAUGGGGUCAGUGGCUUCUGGGUAGGAGCCACGGUCAUGGGGCUGGCUGGUGGGGACACUGGAAUUGCUUCCCAGUGCCCACCCCAGCAGGGAGGAAAAUCAAAACCAAUAACUAAGUCACCUACAUAAGAAUCUUCAAGUUGCGAACUUAAAAUGAUGCGAAGGUGUGUUCGCAUAUCCAGUCACGUAAGUUAGGUCACGUGUCUGGCGUACAUUGUCAUGUGCGUGCAUCCUCUCCAAGUGGUGGUGCUUUUGCGUACUGUACCAUACGGUACUGUUGCUGUGCAUCACGAGGAGCUGACUAACAAAGACCUGAUGGAAUUGGAGGCCCAGAGAAAGGACUAAGAGAGACAAGAAGAGGAAGAAGUAACUGAAGAACGGAAGAGAUUCACAGCGCAGGAAAUGGCAAGGGGAUUUUCUGUAUUUGAGGAGGCACUGUUAGUUUUUGAGGCACAGGACCUGAAUAUAGAACAGUACAUGAAGGUUUCAGCAGCUGUUCAGAAUGUAAUCCAGUGCUACCAUGUCACCUAUGAUAAGAAAAAAAGAGCUACUACCCAGACAUCACUGGAUCUUUUUUUCAAGAUGGUAGAUAGAGUUGAACCCAGCAAGGAACCAGAGCCUGUGCCAUCAGCGUCAGGCGUGAGUGAAAGUGCAGCUCGCCCUCCAUCUCCUGUUGCUGACGACCCUUCAGCUCUACCGUCUCCCACCACCUCUCCCUCCUCCAGUCAGUAACUCUUCCUGCCUGUUCCCUCGAUGCCAGCCCCUGCAUGCCAGCUGUUGUGCUGCACUACUGUACUUUUCAAGGGACUGCACUUCGACAGUUUGGGUGACCACGAAGGGACCCAGAGCAGACGUCUCUCCUUGCCUGAACUCCAAGAGGAUAGGCAGCCUUGGUACUAGCGAGGGCCCCUUGUGCCCAUCCACCUCCUUGAUCUAAGGAAACCCUUCUCCUGAAGGUUGCUAUGACUUAUGGCGAUUUGGUAAAUUAUACCUUUGUAAGCAGAACUGAAUCAUUUAUCUUUUCUCUCUACCUGAUCCCUCCAGAGUUUGGAAACUUCUAGUGAGUAUUCUUAUUUUCAUGGCAAUAUAGUUAUUUGGAUAAGUUCAGAAAGAAUAUGUUCUCCUUAUAACAAGACACAAUUGGGAACACUGGUUGUAUUAACCUGGCUUUGAAAUGUCAUAUUGGACAAUAUGCAAUCAGAAUCAGAUAUGACCACACAGCUUUAAAGGACUAAGGUGAACUUCAUGGAGCCUGAAGUCCCUUGGACAAACAGCCUGGUACCUUGUUUACGGGGUUCCUAGCAGCCUUAUCAGGUGAAUAAGGAAGGCCACCUCCUGGCAGGUGCAGGAAUUUCAAGAUAUCUUGGGGGACCUUGAGAAGAGAAGAGUCUACCCCAAUCUACAGGUAUUACAGGCAGAAGCUGAUGGUAACUGUUUGGUGUGAUUUUCAUGGCCUUGAGAGGACUUUUAAAGUUCAGUCUGAGAUUCCUUAUAAAAAGCUCCAGCAGGGACGUCCCUGCUGGCACGGUGGUUAAGAAUCCGCCUGCCAGUGCAGGGGACACGGGUUCGAUCCUUGGUCUGGGAAGAUUCCACAUGCUGCAGAGCAACUAAGCCCGUGGGCCACAACUACUGAGCCCGCGUGCCACACUACGGAAGCCCGCGCGCCUAGAACCUGUUCUCUGCAACAAGAGAAGCCACCGCAAUGAGAAGCCCAUGCACCGCAACGAAGAGUAGCCCCUGCUCGCCACAGCUAGAGAAAGCCUGCGCACAGCAAUGAAGACCCAAGGCAGCCAAAAAUAAAAAAAAUAAAAAAUAAAAAAAAGUUCCAGCAAGGCCAAUUUAGAAGAGCCUAUUGCAUCAAUUACACUUAUGUAAAUAAUCAGGUCAUGUUUAUUGAAACCAGGCUUAUUUUGUAAGCAAAUUAGUCUUACUUCGGCUAUAUUUUGUAGAAACGAGGGUAAUUUUAGAGAGAAAAAAAUUUUGUUUCAGUGGAUAUUAAGUUCUAGUGUUGUUAGUUGUCUUUGAGGUUUUGUAUUUACUGCCUGAGACUCACUGCCUAGAUGGCUCCUUGUUACUGUGUUGCAUUACCAU
This is a long non-coding RNA of Orcinus orca (killer whale), 2465 nucleotides long. RefSeq lists it as uncharacterized. The transcript is spliced from 3 exons. The record is from RefSeq and is a predicted model, not a curated record. Lineage: Eukaryota; Metazoa; Chordata; Mammalia; Artiodactyla; Delphinidae.